RNAcentral lists this ribosomal RNA (406 nucleotides) under uncultured bacterium. RNAcentral describes it as "partial 16S ribosomal RNA". It matches the Rfam family "Bacterial small subunit ribosomal RNA", at positions 29 to 526 of the family's 1533-position model. The record is from RNAcentral.
AUUGAACGCUGGCGGCAGGCCUAACACAUGCAAGUCGAGCGAGCGGCGGACGGGUGAGUAAUGUAUGGGAAACUGCCUGAUGGAGGGGGAUAACUACUGGAAACGGUAGCUACUCCCGAAUACAAUCAGAUGUGCACAGAUGGGAUUAGCUAGUAGGUGGGGUAAUGGCUCACCUAGGCGACGAUCCCUAGCUGGUCUGAGAGAAUGACCAGCCACAGUGGAAGUGAGAAACGGUCCAGACUCGUAAGGGAGGAAGCAGUGGGGAAUAUUGCACAAUGGGCGCAAGCCUGAGGCAGCCAGGCCGCGUGAGUGAAGAAGGCCUUCGGGUUGUAAAGCACUUUCAGCGGGGAGGCGUUACCCGCAGAAGAAGCACCGGCUAACUCCGUGCCAGCAGCCGCGGUAAUUC